AUUCGCAUUGAAUAUAGUCAAGUUGUAAUGUGUGUGUGUGUGUAUAGGAUCGAGGAGUUUUUGAUAAUACCGCUUUAAUCGAUCGCAUUGUACGUGCGCAUUUCUGUUUUUCCAACGACUCGAUAACGUAAUUUUUAAAAAAUCGCUUUUAUGGCUUUCCAUGUCGUUUCAACUUCACUUCAAAAUGAAAUGAAAUUUUCCAACUAAAUGAAAGACGACCGAAACUUUAUAACAAGGAAUGUUAUAUUAUUUAUCGACCUUCUUUGUUUAAGUUCUUUAUGAGUAUUUGUAGGUUCGAUAGAAGCAAUGAUCGAAGAACAGUUCAGUUCAUUCUACGCUGCCGUAGAGAACGGUUCGAGAUCAGAUUAAGGCGAUCGAGUAUUGUGACCAAUACUAUUACUUUUUUUUUAUAUUUCAUCUAUUAAAUGUUAACAAAACAUGUUAAUAAAAUAAAUUCUACAAAAUUUUAAGUGCUUCUCCGUGUUCGGAAAAUUGUUCGUCAAUUACGAAUAAUGCAGCAAAAUGUAAACAACAGUUGCGGCAAACAUUAAAGGAAGAAUUCGCCACCAUUGCAGAUCAUCAUACGGUACAUACAGUACAGAAGUUAUCACAACGGAAUAAAAAACCUAAUGAAUCAUAUCACGCAUACAUAUAUCAGAUGCUUGAAAUUGCAUAAGCCAACGUAAUUAAAUAUGUUAUCAAAGGUAUUCGAUAGGAUGCUUUAAAUAAAACAAUAUUAAGCUGGGCGAAGACAAUAUAUGAAAUAAAAAAGAGUUAUAUGAUUAUAAAGUUAUAAAUACGAGAUUAUAAAAAAAGAAGGAAAGUUGGGAACAGAACAAUCGAAGUUGGAAGAAAAAAAAUGAACCAAAGGAACGCGAAGGAUACAAAAAGAUGUUUCAACUGCGAGAUUAAGCAUCAUUCGGGCGAUUCCAACCAUGUCAAGGACACAAAGAAUUUAUAAGAAUAUUAAUUAACGAAGCAAAUUAAAAAUGCAUUUUCUCAGCUAUUGUUUCGAAUAACGGAUCAUGGUCAACGACAAAACAUAAGAUAGAAAAACGUUAACUUGAAAGAUCAUUGCACGAUGGCAAAGAAAUAAGAGAUAAGAGAGAAAACGAAAAGGUAAAAAGCGAACAGUUUGAAAGGACGUAAUCGCGAGCAAAGAUGUAAUCGCGAAAAGGACGCGGGUUGCAUGGAGAAGGUCGAGAGAAGGCUACAAUUCGAAUACUACUCGGGAGAUGCAGAGCUUAUGAGAUUACGUGUGGUUCGAACAAACCCGUUUUUGCCCAUCUUACGACGAUCCGUAUAUAUACCUCUCUUCGCCUCUUCUCGAAUCCUCUUUGAGUUCCUUCUGCGUGUGUCAUUUAUGCGUGCAACCCAGACGCCGAGUUAAAAAUAACAGAAGCCAUGGUAUUUAUAGCAAACCACUAGUGGCGCCACGUAUAUAUACGUUAUAAGCUAUUUUCUUUGCUUUCCUUUCCUUU
This is a long non-coding RNA of Vespula pensylvanica (western yellowjacket), 1481 nucleotides long. RefSeq lists it as uncharacterized. The record is from RefSeq and is a predicted model, not a curated record. The transcript has 3 exons. NCBI's taxonomy places the organism in Eukaryota, Metazoa, Arthropoda, Insecta, Hymenoptera, Vespidae.